Molecule: ribosomal RNA, 490 nt
Filed under: uncultured bacterium
Lineage: Bacteria
Description: partial 16S ribosomal RNA
Rfam family: Bacterial small subunit ribosomal RNA
Source: RNAcentral
AUUGAACGCUGGCGGCAGGCCUAACACAUGCAAGUCGAACGGUAACAGGAAGCAGCUUGCUGCUUCGCUGACGAGUGGCGGACGGGUGAGUAAUGUCUGGGAAGCUGCCUGAUGGAGGGGGAUAACUACUGGAAACGGUAGCUAAUACCGCAUAAUGUCGCAAGACCAAAGAGGGGGACCUUCGGGCCUCUUGCCAUCGGAUGUGCCCAGAUGGGAUUAGCUUGUUGGUGGGGUAACGGCUCACCAAGGCGACGAUCCCUAGCUGGUCUGAGAGGAUGACCAGCCACACUGGAACUGAGACACGGUCCAGACUCCUACGGGAGGCAGCAGUAGGGAAUCUUCCGCAAUGGGCGAAAGCCUGACGGAGCAACGCCGCGUGAGUGAUGAAGGUCUUCGGAUCGUAAAACUCUGUUAUUAGGGAAGAACAAAUGUGUAAGUAACUAUGCACGUCUUGACGGUACCUAAUCAGAAAGCCACGGCUAACUACGUG